This 714-nucleotide ribosomal RNA is filed under the name Triticum aestivum (bread wheat). Its description in RNAcentral is "partial small subunit ribosomal RNA". The record is from RNAcentral. Lineage: Eukaryota; Viridiplantae; Streptophyta; Magnoliopsida; Poales; Poaceae.
GAAACCAUUCGGUUAUUUUCUCUCAAUGAGAAGGGCGAAUUGAAUGCCAUCUCCCAAAUUCCAGUCAUUUGUGAGUAUCAAGAUGUCUUUCCAGAAGAGCUUCCGGGUAUGCCUCCUCAUCGGCCAGUUGAGUUCGUUAUCGAACUAGAGCCUGGCACUAAACCCGUUUGCAAGCGUCCAUACAAGCUUGGACCCAACGAGCUGAAGGAAUUGAAGAAACAGCUCGAUGAACAAGAGCGUCUGGGUUUGAUUAGACCGAGUUCUUCUCCAUGUGGUUGUGGUGUUCUUUUUGUCAAGAAGAAGGAUGGCACGGACCGACUUUGUGUCGACUACCGUCCAUUGAACAAGAAGACAAUCAAGAACAAGUAUCCACUUCCCAACAUCAAUGAGCUAUUUGAGCAACUCAAAGGUGCUAAAGUAUUCUCCAAGCUUGACCUUCGUAUGGGUUAUCAUCAGAUUCGCAUUCGUGAAGAAGAUAUUCCCAAGACAGCAUUCAGAACAAGCUUUGGUUCUUAUGAAUAUACUGUCGUGUCUUUCGGCCUUGUCAAUGCUCCUCCAGUGUUCUCUCGGAUGAUGAAUUUCAUCUUCAACCCCUAUACCAAAGAAUUCGUUCUGGUGUAUCUCGAUGAUAUCUUGGUCUUCUCCAAGAAUAAGAAGGAUCAUGCCAAACAUUUGCGAUUGGUGCUCGACAAGCUCAGAGAGUAUCAAUUCUAU